UUGACCCGUUAAUUUCCACUCGCCCCCAAUGUCGGUCGUCCUCCUCCUCCCAGAGAGAUAGCGCCAUGGUGAUUGGGAGCUCCGCCUCGCCGCUCGAUCCAAUUGUUUGGUGGUGACUCGUCCAUGCCUCGGGCUGUCCCGUUCCCUCCUCCUCCCUUCUGUGUCUGCCGCCGGUGUCUGCGGCAUCUCUCGGCCCCGCACACACCCGUCCCCAUUUUCCGUCGCCGCUUCUAUUCGUCGGAUCCGUAGCUACUCAUUUGCUGAGCAAUACCACAGUUGUUUACUGUGUUCUCAUGGAUAGCUAGACACCUAUGGGUUGUUGGCUAGCUGUUCAAUUCAAACAUGGAGGGAAAAGCUUCAGGGGUGUUAGGCGUGAGCAUUUUGGUGGCUCUCGCUCGCCUUUGUGCCUCUGAAAUAAGUUGUCUGGUAUGAGCUUUUGUCUACAUGCCCAACCCUUGUUAAUGUGUGUGUGAAGUGUGGCUUGCAUCCAGCUGGCCGCUUGCUUGUGUGGAUUGAUGGGUGUUUGCAAUGGGUUUUGAAACACUAGUACUAGUAAUUAAGAAGCAGCCAUUAUCUAUGUGGCCGCGGUGUGAGUGUGAUCCUCUCCUCAUACGAGUGUUUGGCAUGUAGUAUUUUGAACUAAGAAGCACUUGUGUGUGCCUGUAUGCUUGUCAUAUAUCCUUUUGAAAUAAGCAGGCAAGCAACUACUUGCCAAGUAACAACCAUCCCUUUACAUUCUAUAUUUUUGCAGGGUUGUCCAUGUUUUUCAGUAUUGUGUUGUUUCAGUUAGUGGUUCAGCUAGUGUUUGUUAUGUUGUUAGGAGGUGGGAGUUUUUGAAAUUCUCACUAACAUUCAUGGAGGAAUUCCAGCAGUUUUACGUGUCAGUUCACUGUAAAUCUAGUAUAUUACACUGUAAUCCAACUUCAAUUAUACUGUAGAACUCACUGUAAUUCAUCUGUCAUUUGCACUAUAAUACUACUAUUCUUACACUGUAAAUCUAGUGUAAAGUGUCACUGGGAAUUGCAUUAGUUAUACUGUAUAUUACACCAUAUUUACGGUGUAAUUGUACUGUAUAUUACACUGUAAGACUCACCGCAUUUCUACUGUAUAAUUCUACUAGAAAUUACACGGCAAAUCACAUGCUCAAUCUAUUGGAAUUAUACUGUAUCUUUUACACUGUAAUUCUAUUGCAAAUUACACUGUAAAUCUACUAUAAACUACACCGUAAAUCUGCUGAAAUUACAGUGUAAACUACACUAUUUACACUGUAGUUCUACUGUAUUUUUUACACUGUAAGUCGACAGUGUAAUUCAAAUUGUAAAACUGUAAAUAUUGUGGUUUAAUAUAACUGCAGAAUUUUGCACUCUAAAUUACACUGUAAAUCGACUCUGUUUUGACUGUAAAUCUAUUGUAAAUUAUACUGUUAAUUUACUAUAUUUCUACUGUACAUCUACUGUAAUUUACAUUGUAUUGUGAGUCUACUCUAAUUUCCAGUGCAAUUCUGGAAAGUAAUUGUACUGUUCAAUGCAGUAAUUUCUAGCAAGUAACAGUGCUAGUAAAUAGCAUUUCCUAGUCUUUCUACAAUGUAAUUUCUGUUAUGUAGUUGUGUAAUUUUUUUUUCAGAUUUUCACUGUAAGUACUGAUUUCUUACUUUUGCCACGUAGAAACCUAGAUUGUCCUGAUUCAUAAUUCAUGGAAACUUAUGUUGUUGUAUCCUUUAGUAUUAAUUUUGUGGCUUCUCAUGGUUGCUUUUCACUGUAAUUCUCAGUUGAUUGCAAUAUAAUUCCUUUUUGGAUUUACAGUGUAAUUCCUUUUGUAUUUACAGUGUAAUUCCUUUUGGAUUUACAGUGUAAUUGCCUUGGAAUUUCAGUGAUUUACUGUGUAGUUCAUAGUGGAUUUUUUAGUGUAACUAAGUAUAUCUUCAGUGUAAUUUUCUAGCGGAUAGGUAUACAGCAUAAUCCGUAGUUGUUUUUCACUGUAAUUCUUAGUUGGUUGCAGUGUAAAUCCUUUUGGUUUUGCAGUGUAAUUCCUUUUUGGGGAUUUACAGUGUAAUUCCUUUUUGGAUUUAUAGUGUUUUUGUGAGUGGAUUUACAGUGUAUUUGUGAGUGGCUUUCCAGUGUAAUUGCCUUGGAUUUACAGUGUAUUUGCAAGUGGAUUUACACUAUAAUUGGUAGUUGAUUUACAAUGUUUUUUGCAAGUGGAUUUUUCAGUGUAAUUGAAUUGGAUUUACAGUGUAUUUGCGAGUGGAUUUGCAAUGUAAUUCAUAUUGGACUUUCAAUGUAUUUGUCACUGUAUUUACAGUGUAAUUAUCAGUGUGUUCUAAAAAAAUUCUUAGUGGGCUUGCAAUGUUUUUCCUAUUUAUAGCCCAUGCCCAUGCCCUUUCCCUUUUUGUAUCCUAGUUUUCGCAUGCUUGAGUGUAUAGAUUCAGUAGAUUCUCUCCCAUUUCUCAGUGGAAAUCCUUUUAAGUAGAUUCUCCCCCAUUCAGUAGAUUUAGAACAAAUAGUGGAUGUGCAUUGCAAGCAUUGAAAUCUUCUUAGAUGGGUAGUGGGUUUAUAGUGGUUAUGUAGUGAAAUAAAAGAGAUGUAGACUGUAAAUGCUAUCAAUGCAUAUCUUCUUUAUAUUUUUGUUAUGUCUUAUCCCUUCUGCCAUUUCAUCUCAGACUUUUUGCCCUUUAAUUUGUGUCUGUAUAUAUUUAGGUUAUAGUUUAAAGUAUGGGUAGACUCAUGAAGGCUUUUGGUAAGGACACUUAUGCUGCUUGUGUUGAAGAUUCUGAUGAUUCAGAUGGGGAUCCUUUUGUCCCCAAUGAUGUUGCUGAGGAUGAUCCUUUUCAAGCUUCGGAGGAAGGUCAAAAUGGAUGAUCCUGAUUUUGAGAAAGCUUUUGUAUGAGUUCUAUGUGUCUCAUAAAGUGAAUUGCUGAAAACGGAGGAUUACAAAUGUUGGAGCUUGCAAUGUGGAAAGCGACCAUGGCUAGCAGCAGCCGCAUCCCAGCCAUGAGCCAUCACCUUGGGCGAGAUCUGUGUUGCCCAGCGUGCGGACUGGCUAGCGGCGGUGCUGGCCAUUGGCACGGCAAACCCGCCCCACUGCGUGCCGCAGGGCAUCGGCAUGCGUUUCUUCCACACACCGAUGAACUGCUCGCCACGCACCCGGACUUGUCCCUCGACGCCACCUCGGCUGCGGUGAAUGCAAUCGCCGAGUGGGGCUGUACGGCGGGCGACAUCACCCAUCUCGUCGUCAUCACCAACGCGGGAUCGCAUGCCCUGGGCACCGACGUCCGCUUGGUCUUGCCCUCCUGGUCUUGCCCUCCGCCUCGGCGUCCUGCGCAACUGAUGGUUUAUUUUUGACUAGUACUUGAUGGUUUAUUUUUGACUGUAGUACCUGAUGGUUUAUAGUGUAGUUAUUUCUUGAUUUUGCUCUGUAAUGCCCAGUGGAAUUACACUGUAUGCUAAUUGGUUUUACAUAGUAAAUCUUAGCGGUUUUACAUAGUAAUUUACACAGUAGUUUACACUGUAAUUUUAGUAAAUUCUUACUGGAUUUUACUGUAUUUGUAAGGGGGGUUUUCAGUGCAUUUUUUGUCAUUUUAGUGAUUUCUGCAGUGCUAAUCUUAGUGGCAUUUGCAGUGUAAAUUUACUGGAUUUUAAUCUGUAUUUUCUUAUUGGCA
Molecule: long non-coding RNA, 3658 nt
Organism: Triticum aestivum (bread wheat)
Lineage: Eukaryota; Viridiplantae; Streptophyta; Magnoliopsida; Poales; Poaceae
Exons: 6
Source: RefSeq, a predicted model, not a curated record